UACGUAGGGUCCGAGCGUUGUCCGGAAUUAUUGGGCGUAAAGAGCUCGUAGGCGGUCCAUUAAGUCGAAUGUGAAAUCUCACGGCUCAACCGUGAAAUUGCAUCCGAUACUGGUGGACUUGAGGCAGGUAGAGGAAGGUGGAAUUCCUGGUGUAGCGGUGAAAUGCGCAGAUAUCAGGAGGAACACCGGCGGCGAAGGCGGCCUUCUGGGCCUGUACUGACGCUGAGGAGCGAAAGCGUGGGGAGCGAACAGG
Molecule: unclassified non-coding RNA, 253 nt
Filed under: uncultured Euzebyales bacterium
Lineage: Bacteria; Bacillati; Actinomycetota; Nitriliruptoria; Euzebyales
Description: contains 16S-23S intergenic spacer region
Rfam family: Bacterial small subunit ribosomal RNA
Source: RNAcentral